This 286-nucleotide small RNA is filed under the name Allobosea sp. EC-HK365B. Its description in RNAcentral is "Bosea sp. EC-HK365B 5_ureB_sRNA". It matches the Rfam family "5' ureB small RNA". Lineage: Bacteria; Pseudomonadati; Pseudomonadota; Alphaproteobacteria; Hyphomicrobiales; Alloboseaceae. The record is from RNAcentral. RNAcentral also lists the same sequence under 7 other names.
CAUCUCCGCCUGCUGCGGACAGAUGAAAUGGAUAUGGGCGUCGACGCCGCCGGCAGUCAGGAUCUUGCCCUCGCCGGCAACCACGUCGGUGCCGGGACCGAUGACGAUAUCGACGCCCGGCUGGAUAUCGGGAUUGCCGGCCUUGCCGAUCGCGGCGAUGCGCCCGUCCUUGAUGCCGACAUCGGCCUUCACGAUGCCCCAAUGGUCGAGGAUCACCGCAUUGGUGAUGACGAGGUCGGGCACCUCCGCGGCAUUGCGCUGGCUCUGGCCCAUACCGUCGCGGAUG